GUGCUAGCUUCAGAAGCACAUAUACUAAAAUUGGAAUGAUACAGAAAUUAGCGUGGCCCCUGUGCAAGGAUGACAUGCAAAUUUGUGAAUUGUUCCAUAUUAAA
Non-coding RNA from Erinaceus europaeus (western European hedgehog), 104 nucleotides. The record is from Rfam. Lineage: Eukaryota; Metazoa; Chordata; Mammalia; Eulipotyphla; Erinaceidae.